This 498-nucleotide ribosomal RNA is filed under the name uncultured bacterium. RNAcentral describes it as "bacterial SSU rRNA". It matches the Rfam family "Bacterial small subunit ribosomal RNA", at positions 28 to 526 of the family's 1533-position model. The record is from RNAcentral.
GACGAACGCUGGCGGCGCGCCUAACACAUGCAAGUCGAGCGAUGAACUUAAAUGGAAUUCUUCGGAAUGAAGUAUAAGGGAUUAGCGGCGGACGGGUGAGUAACACGUGAGUAACCUACCAUACACAUGGGGAUAGCCUCGGGAAACUGGGAUUAAUACCCAAUGAGAUCUAAACUUCGCAUGAAGAUUAGAUUAAAGUGCUUAGCGGUGUAUGAUGGACUCGCGGCCCAUUAGCUAGUUGGUGAGAUAACAGCUCACCAAGGCGACGAUGGGUAGCCGGCCUGAGAGGGUGAUCGGCCACAUUGGAACUGAGACACGGUCCAAACUCCUACGGGAGGCAGCAGUGGGGAAUAUUGCACAAUGGGGGAAACCCUGAUGCAGCGACGCCGCGUGAGCGAUGAAGGCUUUCGAGUCGUAAAGCUCUGUCCUAUGGGAAGAUAAUGACGGUACCAUAGGAGGAAGCUCCGGCUAACUACGUGCCAGCAGCCGCCGUAAAAC